RNAcentral lists this ribosomal RNA (364 nucleotides) under Mulcticola hypoleucus. RNAcentral describes it as "partial 12S ribosomal RNA". Lineage: Eukaryota; Metazoa; Arthropoda; Insecta; Psocodea; Philopteridae. The record is from RNAcentral.
GGCUAGGCAAAAAAGCUAAAGGAAAAGAGUAAUCUGCUUAAGGAGGAAAAUAAAUAAACAGUGGCGGUUUCUACUCUCUGCAAAGAAGCAUGUUGGUAGGAAUGAAUCUGCACAAAUGACCCAUCUCUUGCUGGAAGUAAGGUUGACAUUCGGUACACUGCUAUCUGAAAGAGUAACCUAUAGGUUAAUUCUCUGUAUCCAACCAACUACGUGGGGUAAGGUAAGUAAAGGUGCCGAUAAUGCAGGAGAAUCGAUGUGCCUCAGUGUAAUAAGAAUGGAGGGUGUGUGAAAUCCUAGCCUGAAAUAGAAUUUGCUAGUAAAGUGGGUAGAAAGGAACCUCCUUGAAUAGGGAAAAGGGGAACGU